This 788-nucleotide ribosomal RNA is filed under the name Corynebacterium pseudotuberculosis. RNAcentral's name for it is "bacterial SSU rRNA". Lineage: Bacteria; Bacillati; Actinomycetota; Actinomycetes; Mycobacteriales; Corynebacteriaceae. The record is from RNAcentral.
AGGUGGUGGAAAGUUUUUUCGGUACGAGAUGAGCCCGCGGCCUAUCAGCUUGUUGGUGGGGUAAUGGCCUACCAAGGCGUCGACGGGUAGCCGGCCUGAGAGGGUGGACGGCCACAUUGGGACUGAGAUACGGCCCAGACUCCUACGGGAGGCAGCAGUGGGGAAUAUUGCACAAUGGGCGCAAGCCUGAUGCAGCGACGCCGCGUGAGGGAUGACGGCCUUCGGGUUGUAAACCUCUUUCGACAGGGACGAAGCUUUUUGUGACGGUACCUGUAUAAGAAGCACCGGCUAACUACGUGCCAGCAGCCGCGGUAAUACGUAGGGUGCGAGCGUUGUCCGGAAUUACUGGGCGUAAAGAGCUCGUAGGUGGUUUGUCGCGUCGUCUGUGAAAUUCCGGGGCUUAACUCCGGGCGUGCAGGCGAUACGGGCAUAACUUGAGUGCUGUAGGGGAGACUGGAAUUCCUGGUGUAGCGGUGGAAUGCGCAGAUAUCAGGAGGAACACCGAUGGCGAAGGCAGGUCUCUGGGCAGUAACUGACGCUGAGGAGCGAAAGCAUGGGGAGCGAACAGGAUUAGAUACCCUGGUAGUCCAUGCCGUAAACGGUGGGCGCUAGGUGUGAGGGUCUUCCACGACUUUCGUGCCGUAGCUAACGCAUUAAGCGCCCCGCCUGGGGAGUACGGCCGCAAGGCUAAAACUCAAAGGAAUUGACGGGGGCCCGCACAAGCGGCGGAGCAUGUGGAUUAAUUCGAUGCAACGCGAAGAACCUUACMUGGGCUUGACAUAUCUCAG